Molecule: transfer RNA, 87 nt
Filed under: freshwater metagenome
Description: tRNA-His
Source: RNAcentral
GAAGCUCUGGGGGAUGGCGUCGCCCCACUUCAUGAAGGUGCGAAUCGCGGUGGGUGCGGUGUACAGGAUCGUGACCCGGUGCUUCUC